Culex quinquefasciatus (southern house mosquito) is the source of this 939-nucleotide long non-coding RNA. RefSeq lists it as uncharacterized. The record is from RefSeq and is a predicted model, not a curated record. The transcript is spliced from 4 exons. Lineage: Eukaryota; Metazoa; Arthropoda; Insecta; Diptera; Culicidae.
AGCAUACUGAUUGCAUGAUAAAACUUUUCUGUCUCUCUUUCUUGUCGAAAAAAAUAGCCUGCAAUGUUUAAAAUUACCUUUCUAAUUAUUUCUCUUGUAACUCUAGCCAAAUGUUACCCACAGGAACCCCCACCCGACGAGCAGUACGAUUCGUCAUCGGACGAGCAACGUGACCUGUUGUUCGUGUCAAUCAUACGGAAAAUUGCUGCAGAAAUGCAACAGCAGCAAACGUCGACAGCGAUGACGCCGGCAGUGGAGUCGACUUCCCACCACCAGCGGCUGGACUGUGGCCGGGUGCCCACGUGUGGCUCGAUUUGCUGCAAAGGGGGUGUAUUUCCGUGAAGUGAAACAAAAUUCAGCAGGGGAAAUUUGAAAAUGUGAGAAAUAAACGUUUAGUUAAGCUUUUGUAGUAAACAAAACUCAAAUGUGUAAAUAGGGCAGUGCAUGCAAUCAUGCAUUUUAAAAUUUUAAUCAAUUAUUAUAAGAUUGUUUAAAUAGACGAUGGUGAGAUUCCAAACAAUCAUUCGGAAACUUGUAGUUUUAACCUACAGAUUUAAAAAAUCUUUAACAAAAUGAGCAAACUUGUUUUUCUAGUUUACUGUGCAGCAGUUUUACUAGCAAUGAUUGGUGCAGCUCACGCUUAUUCCGAGAUGGUUUGUGAUGUUGCACCAUGUCCUAGGCCAAAUCCGUGCUGUUGAAAUUUAUAUAAUCCAUCAAGGUGAAAUUGAAUAAAUAUUUUAAAAAUGAACAGAUUCAAAUAAGAAUUCUUAUUGUUAAAUUGGCUAAUCGAAUGCAACUAAAAAUAAGUAAAUUCAAGGAGUUUUUGUCAAAUUUUUAAUAAAUUAGGCACAGUGUAAAGCGGAAGUUUGUAUGCAAAUAUUGAUCAUUUAUUUAUUUUAAUAAAUACGAAUAAAAACUGGAUGAUUUCACAUAAACAAA